Rhagoletis zephyria (snowberry fruit fly) is the source of this 104-nucleotide long non-coding RNA. RefSeq lists it as uncharacterized. NCBI's taxonomy places the organism in Eukaryota, Metazoa, Arthropoda, Insecta, Diptera, Tephritidae. The record is from RefSeq and is a predicted model, not a curated record.
AGUAGUGAUAUGCUGAGUCAAUACUUUUAAGUAUCCAAUACCCUCGACACUCGGUACCGAAACAUUGAAGUUUCGAAUAAAUGCGCACAUAGGUCAAAAAUAUG